CCGUAACUAUAACGGUCCUAAGGUAGCGAAAUUCCUUGUCGGGUAAGUUCCGACCCGCACGAAUGGCGUAACGAUGGCCACACUGUCUCCUCUCGGGACUCAGCGAAGUUGAAAUGUUUGUGAAGAUGCAAUCUACCCGCGGCUAGACGGAAAGACCCCAUGAACCUUUACUGUAGCUUUACAUUGGACUUUGACAAGAUUUGUGUAGGAUAGGUGGGAGACGUUGAAGCGGAGUCGCUAGAUUUCGUGGAGUCAACCUUGAAAUACCACCCUGAUGUUGUUGAGGUUCUAACCUAGGUCCAUAAUCUGGACUGGGGACCGUGUAUGGUGGGCAGUUUGACUGGGGCGGUCUCCUCCCAAAGAGUAACGGAGGAGUGCGAAGGUAACCUAGGUACGGUCGGAAAUCGUACUGAUAGUGCAAUGGCAUAAGGUUGCUUGACUGCGAGACGGACAGGUCGAGCAGGUGCGAAAGCAGGUCAUAGUGAUCCGGUGGUUCUGUAUGGAAGGGCCAUCGCUCAACGGAUAAAAGGUACUCUGGGGAUAACAGGCUGAUUCCUCCCAAGAGUUCAUAUCGACGGGGGAGUUUGGCACCUCGAUGUCGGCUCAUCACAUCCUGGGGCUGUAGCCGGUCCCAAGGGUAUGGCUGUUCGCCAUUUAAAGUGGUACGUGAGCUGGGUUUAAAACGUCGUGAGACAGUUUGGUCCCUAUCUGCCGUGGGCGUUGGAAAUUUGAAGGGACCUGCUCCUAGUACGAGAGGACCGGAGUGGACGGAUCUCUGGUGGACCGGUUGUCAUGCCAAUGGCAUAGCCGGGUAGCUAAAUCCGGAAGAGAUAAACGCUGAAAGCAUCUAAGCGUGAAACUCGCCUUGAGAUGAGAUUUCCCUGGGGGUUUAACCCCCCUAAAGAGUCGUUCGAGACCAGGACGUUGAUAGGACGGAUGUGGAAGCGCAGUAAUGCGUUAAGCUGACCGUUACUAAUUGCUCGUGAGGCUUGAUCCU
Molecule: ribosomal RNA, 997 nt
Filed under: sediment metagenome
Description: bacterial LSU rRNA
Rfam family: Bacterial large subunit ribosomal RNA
Source: RNAcentral